CCGAUGCUGUCAAAGGAUACAUUGGUUGGUCUGUGUUCGUCUCUAAAGGCGCAGCAGAAGAUGAAGCCAUUGGAGGAUGGAAAUGAGGUACCACCUGCAAUUGCAAGCUCCGCAGCAGUAUCAGCCAGGGCCAGGCUGUGAGUGAUAUGCAUGCAUUGCACCAGUUUAUAUUCAUCAAUAAUGAUGGUUACAAUCCAACCAACCUGUGUUUUUUUUUUGCGGGAGAACCAACCUGUGUUGUUGUAAUUCAUGUACUGCUUUUGGACUUGGAUGGUGUGAUUUAGGGACCCGGACGUGGCGCCAUGAACUCAUGUUGUUGUAAUCUUAGACCCCUGCUUGUGUUGUAAACUGAUGUAUGUGCAAAACCUAAAUGGGCUGUCUGUGACACCAUACAAUAUAUGGUGGCUGUUGAGACAUAUAUGGCAAAUGGCGAUGAAAUUAAUUAGCUGCUUACAUGAAAUUAAACGUAUACCUCGGCAUGCUUGUAUUAGUUUCAAACACAUUAGCUGCUUGCG
RNAcentral lists this long non-coding RNA (515 nucleotides) under Triticum aestivum (bread wheat). RNAcentral describes it as "long non-coding RNA (TAES_LNC005811)". The record is from RNAcentral. Lineage: Eukaryota; Viridiplantae; Streptophyta; Magnoliopsida; Poales; Poaceae.